UGGGGGAAUCUUCGCGCAAUGGGCGAAGCCUGACGCAGCCAUGCCGCGUGAAUGAUGAAGGUCUUCGGAUUGUAAAAUUCUUUCGUCGGGGACGAUAAUGACGGUACCCGGAGAAGAAGCCCCGGCUAGCUUCGUGCCAACAACCGCGGUAAUACCAAGGGGGCUAGCGUUGCUCGGAAUUACUGGGGGUAAAGGGCGCGUAGGCGGAGGGUAAUUCAGAGGUGAAAUCCGAUGGCUCAACCCUGGAACUGCCUUUGAUACUGGCGAUCUUGAGUAUGAUUGAGGUAUGUGGAACUCCGAGUGUAAAGGUGAAAUUGAAAUCCAUUUGGAAGAACACCAUUGGCGAAAGCUGGUAGAGGCUCAUUACUGACGCUGACCCUCUGGACCGUGGGGACCCUCAGGAUUAGAUACCCUGGGAGUC
Molecule: ribosomal RNA, 421 nt
Filed under: Brevundimonas sp.
Lineage: Bacteria; Pseudomonadati; Pseudomonadota; Alphaproteobacteria; Caulobacterales; Caulobacteraceae
Description: bacterial SSU rRNA
Rfam family: Bacterial small subunit ribosomal RNA
Source: RNAcentral